Bolinopsis microptera is the source of this 506-nucleotide long non-coding RNA. RefSeq lists it as uncharacterized. NCBI's taxonomy places the organism in Eukaryota, Metazoa, Ctenophora, Tentaculata, Lobata, Bolinopsidae. The record is from RefSeq and is a predicted model, not a curated record. The transcript is spliced from 2 exons.
UACUACUCCGAUCCAGAAAUCUUCGCUAAACCAUCACAUGAGAUGAAUAACUACAAGUUGGACUCCACAUAACAUUAUUCCUUGUUCUGAUCAGUCAAUAAAUGUAAUCUGCAUCAAUUUUCCAAUAAUUACAUCUUCUUACUAGUUUAUUUUCCCUCUCAGGGCUGGAACGCAAUGUUACAGCCCACUUUAUAAAUUACUAAAACUCGAGUUAUUCCAGAUUGACGACUUGACACAGAUAUUCAUCAGACAACCUAAAUAAAGGACUCCCACUCUCCAAACCAGUAGAGAUCCAAUCACUGCCUCCAGGGUACCCCUUCAUCCGGUAUUAGCAGUUCCUCCACCACCACCAGGUUGAUCUGAUUAGUAAACUCAAGGAAGAUGAUACCAGAUCAGUCCCGAACUUUGCCUCAGCAUCAUACUCUGCCUAGUGUCGAUAAAGAGGAUUCACAAACAAUCGAGAUUCACUUACAAAUAUUUGCUAUUACUUUUUACAAUUGCAGUUA